AGAAUCAACGCUGGCGGCGUGCCUCAGACAUGCAAGUCGAACGAUUAAACUUUCCUUCGGGAAAGAUAUAAAGUGGCGCACGGGUGAGUAACACGUAGGUAAUGUACCUUUGGGUGGGGAAUAACUUAGGGAAACUUAAGCUAAUACCGCAUAAUGCGAUAACUUCUUCGGAAGAUUUUGUUAAAGAUUUAUCGCCUGAAGAGCAGCCUGCGGCAGAUUAGCUAGUUGGUAAGGUAACGGCUUACCAAGGCUACGAUCUGUAUCCGACCUGAGAGGGUGGUCGGACACACUGACACUGAAUAACGGGUCAGACUCCUACGGGAGGCAGCAGUCGGGAAUUUUGGGCAAUGGGCGAAAGCCUGACCCAGCAACGCCGCGUGAAGGAUGAAGUCUCUCGGGAUGUAAAACUUCGAAAAGAAUAGGAAGAAUAAAUGACGGUACUAUUAUAAGGUCGGCUAACUACGUGCCAGCAGCCGC
RNAcentral lists this ribosomal RNA (477 nucleotides) under uncultured bacterium. RNAcentral describes it as "SSU rRNA". It matches the Rfam family "Bacterial small subunit ribosomal RNA", at positions 26 to 518 of the family's 1533-position model. The record is from RNAcentral.